GCCGGGGCGUCCCCCGCGGGAGCCCGCAGCCACCCGGGACGCGCAUCCAGACGUGGCGCUUCGGACCGGGCACGCUGCGCCCGGGGGCUCGGCGGACCCCGCGUAGCCGCCGCUUCGGAGCUUGUGCGGCGCGGGCUGGCCAGCGGGGCGGCCAGGGCCCGGCCCGCCUCCCCAGCGCCCGCCCGGCUUCUCCCCCUGGCGGUGGGAGCCUCGGCGGCCGCUGGCGACACUAGGCGCACUGAAGCCCGAGCCGAGCCGAGCCCGAGCCGCCGCCGCCGCCGCCGCUGCUGCGCACCGCUCCCGGGCUCCCUCCCAGCGCGCCGGCCGGGGUGUGGGGGGCGGCGGGCCGGAGGGGCGAGGGCGGGCCAGGGGGCGCACACGGGGGUUGGCGCGGAAGACAGGACCCUCAGCCUCGAGGGAGCCCCUAGGUGACCAGGCAAAAUGGCAGUUCCUUCCAGCUGGUCCUCAGAUGGGCACAUCUAUUAGCCUCUGCUCUUGUAAGAAGUUAGCUGCAGAACCCACAUGUGAAUCCUUGUAGUGCUUUAUCAAAUUUCUACUAUGAACUAAGAACUGAGUGCUAUGGGAGACACAAAGGAGAGUCAGGACUCUGGAGAAGAUCAAAUGGGAGCUUAGAUGUGGAAGCUCUUUGGAAACCAAGAAACACUCUGAAAAUGAAAAGGGUGGAAGAGUAAACUGUUCCUGUUUCUCCAUCUUGACAGGAAGCAGAAGUUCUCCUUAGCUGAUUUUUCUUCUUGCCUUAUACUGGGUUCUUUAACACCAGAACAAAAAUAAAUAAAUAAAAGAAUCUUCCAGAAAUUCAUGAAGAGACUUCAGGUCAGGAAAGCCUGAACUUUCUCAUCCAACACCCGUUCAAGUCGGAGGAUGCUGAUUAAUUCAUGAUGGAAAGGUAUCAAUUUCACAGCCCAGACCUCUACAUUCUUGAAAUGCUCUUCUCAUGGGAGACAUUAAAUAAGCUUUGAAUUAACUGUCAGACGUUUGCUGAAUUCAGUUCUGAGCUUUUGAACCAAAAGCAGAUCUUCAGAACAAGAAACAAGAUAAUAAAAGAGAAACAUGAAGAAACUGAAGAUGAUUGGAGAAAUAUGAAUCAAGAUGAUUAGACCUAGCAGAGGGCUGGCUGGAUGGCAUUUAUGUUGACAAUGGACUCCUACACAGAGGAUGAUCAUGGUCUAGGACAUAAUAGUCAUUCAAUCAUCAUUUCUUAAAUGAUUUUUUAAAACAAGUGAAUGAAUGACCAAUUAUAUACCUUCCCUGAGCCAAUAAAAUAUAUUAAAAGUAUAGGCCUGGGCACAGUGGCUCAUGCCUGU
This 1325-nucleotide long non-coding RNA is filed under the name Homo sapiens (human). RNAcentral describes it as "PREDICTED lncRNA (TCONS_00182840)". Lineage: Eukaryota; Metazoa; Chordata; Mammalia; Primates; Hominidae. The record is from RNAcentral.